This is a non-coding RNA of Ictidomys tridecemlineatus (thirteen-lined ground squirrel), 4696 nucleotides long. The record is from RefSeq and is a predicted model, not a curated record. Lineage: Eukaryota; Metazoa; Chordata; Mammalia; Rodentia; Sciuridae.
CACCCCGGGCUCCUCUCUGCCCCCUCUCCCCCCAGGCUCCUGGUCCUCAGCCCUCCCCUGCUGCAGGGCACUCCCGGCCCGUGGCCCCGUCCAUCCAGUUCCGGUCUCUGUCCAUCCUGAUGGACAGCCCGGGACAGGCUUGGAGCUGCUGAAGCCUGGGAGGAGGUCCGGACAGCUCCUCUCCGUCCCCCAGGGCUGAGCAUGGGGUGGCCUGCUGAAGGCCGCCUGGCCUGGGAGGGGCUAGCUGUCCCUGCCCCACCGUCCCAGCAGGUUUUCCUCAAGGCCUCAGGUGGCCAGGUCUCCCUGCUGGCAGAAGCUGGGAAGGGGCCACUCCUGCCCCGAGGGAGAGCUGGGGGUGGUGCAGGGCUUGGCCGCGCAGUCACUCCGAGUGGGCCUCUCUGGGCCCCUUUCGAAGGCCAGAGGUUGGUGGGGGCCGUUCUGUACCUCGUCCACCCUGGUACCUUCAGAGCUCCCGGGAGGACUUUCUGCUGUGGGUGGGGAGGGAAUGGCCUCCGAGUGGGUGAGGGAUAGCCCAGGUCACAGGGUGGGGCGGGCCACCUAUGAGAUGCUGGAACAUCUCGUAGAAACCCUGGUCCCCUGGCCCAGGGUGGGACUGCUGGGGCUCUCCAGACUCCUGGCCCAGGUGGCCUCCACAUUGUCAUCGUGACAGGGGCACAUGCUGACCCCAGGGCUCUGGGGACAGGUGCAGUGGGGCCACAGGCCUAACCCUGAGGAGCCCUCAGCCCAGCCGAGGUCCCCAGCUAAGCCCCAUCACCCUGUCCCCCACCCAGCCUGGGGUCCCUGAUCCCUACACCAGGUGCCCAUGUCCCCACGUCCUCUCUUCAGUGUGCCACACUGAGUUUCAGAGACAGAAGGGGGAUCACAGGCAGGAAGGAGAGCCCCGAGUCCAGCAGCAGCACCUGCACCCCUCGCUGUGGUCCCCUCUGGCCUUGGAAGAGACUGAGCUAGGUGGGGCGUGGGGGUCCAGGCCACCCACCACAGUCCGUCUCCAGCCCCGGGAGGCCCCUCUGUCCCUCUCCCACCGUGUCCCAGCCCUGGGAGGACCCUGAGGUCCAGGGCUUGCCCAGGAGUGGGACGGUGGGUGGGCUGGUGCCGGGAGCUCAUGAGCGUCACCUGGGCGCGGCCAGCGGGCCGUUUGCUCUGCCUCUUAGGACGGGGUCCCAGGAACUUGUCCUGUGUCCUCUGUGCUGUGGGUGCCGCUGGGGUCUCGGGAGCCCCUGCCCCAUCUGCUCCACCUCAUUUCAGCCAUGUGCUGGGGGUCCCCAUGAGCAGCCCUGGGAUGCCACCAGCCACCCUGUCGCCUUGGGGACAGAUGCACCAAAAGCUGUCUAAAAUGAAAAGUCCUGCUGAGAGCCACAUCGGCAGCGCGUGCGGCCCCGGGGACGCCCCUUCCCACAGCAGGGGGGCCGCCCCCUCCACCUUCGACCCCGUUUCCUUCUGUGAAGGCCCGUCUCCACCCAGGGCAGGGCUUCGAGGCAGGACGGGGGACGCAGCCACUGCACUUGGGGGAGUGGCCCUCUAGGCCCACCCUGAGAGCUGGAGGAGGGUUAUGGGGACCAGUGACCCACCCAGGUCACACGAGCCUUGUCCCAGUGUGGCAGGGGCCGCUGGGCGGGUCACUCAGGGAGCCAGGAGGCCUUGCCUACAAGCCCCCUUCUGAGAGUGGACAUCUGCUCCGAGUGCGUGGGGACGGGAGAGCCUGUGAGAAAUGUCCACCAGAAACCCCAAAGAGCAAGCCAGGGGCGGAGGCCAUCUGUGACUUCCCACUCAACCAUGCACAGAGGUGCACGCCUGCGAUCCCAGCACUGGGGGGCUCAGGCUGGAAGAUCACAAGUUCAAGGCCAGCCUCAGCAACUCUGCAACACCCGGUCUAAAAACAGAAUGUAAAGUGGGCUGUGGGUGUAUGUUGCUCGGUGGGUAAGCACCCUGGGUUCCGUGGAAGGGAGGGGGCACAGAUUCUGGGAGUGCACCCAAAGGAAUUGAAGCAAGGCCCAGAGGUGUUUACAUCCAGGUUCAUAGCAUCCUUCUAGAGUCAAAGGCAGAGAACAGCUGAGUGGGUAAACAGAAGGUGGUAUGUCCAUACAAUGGAAUAUUAUUUAGUCUGAAAAAGGAAGGAAAUUCUGAUUAUAGUAAAAUUGAGUGAGUCUUAAGGACAUUAUACUAAGUAAGACAAGCCAAUCACAACCACACGAUUCCGUGUGAUUCCACCAUAUGAAGUACCAAGAGGAGUCGGAGUCAUAGAGACCCAUUAGCAGUGGUUACUGGGGAGGGGAUUAGAAUUUCAGUUUUGCAAGAUGGAAUUCUGGAGAUUGCUUGGCCGUUGAGCCACAUCUCCAGAUAGGGUCUCGCUAAGUUGCUUAGAGCCUCACUGACUUGCCAAGGCUGGCCUCAAACUUGUGAUCCUCCUGCCUCAGCCUCCCCAGUUGCUGGAUUCCAGGUGUGCACCACUGCACUCAACAACCAUGCGAACGUAUUUAACACCACAGAACUGUACCUAUCAGGAGGGGACAGGGCCUCGCUGCACUGCCCGGGCUGGUCUCCACCUCCUGGGCUCAAGCCAGCCUCCCAAGUAGCUGGGGCUACCAUGUGGGCCCCCUGCUGGGCCUGGGCGGUGGACUUAAGAGGGUCAGAGUGGUGUACACUUCAUCCCAAAUUCUUUUUUAAAAACGUGGACGGGAGGGAGGGGAGAGAGCCUUCCUCCCUGCCGAUUCUCCAGGGCUGCUUCCCUGCCGGGCUCUGGGCUGCCCCAACCCUCGGCCCUCUGCUGCAGGGGCCCCGGGCAGUGCCCUAGAGGCCAUGAGAAGGGCAAGGCUGCCAGGCGCCCACUGGAGAUGGGCCACCAACAAUGGUCCCUGCCUCCCGCAGAGGCCUGUGCUUCCCAGGACCCUUGGGGUGGGAGGGGACGUGACCAGCUCUGACCAGCGAGUUCUGGCUGGAAGGGACAUGGGGCCCUGGAGCCGGAGCAUUAUCUGUGGACAGAGCCCUUCCUGGGCUCCGCCCCUCGGAGGGUGUGGGGACCGGCACGCUCCAGUGCUCUCGUGUGGCUGGCAGCCCUGGGGGCGCUCAUCACCGCGGCACCACCUGGCCAGACCCCGCCACACCGCCUCUUCCCCGGUGGUCCUUGAAUGGGGAGGCCAGUGUGGGGCGUGGCCUUCUGUGUGCUGUGCACGUCGCAGGGCCGCCAGCACGAUUCCGAGUUGGUCUCCGUGUGAGCCUGAGGAGGUCACCGUCUCAGUUCGUCCCUCCAUAACAGGGACCUUUCCAGAUGCCAAAUUCUGGGCCGGGGAGAUGGCCUUGCCCCUCCUCGUGCCAUGGACCGUCAGAGCCCGAGGACGGCUGUGCACAGAUGGCGAGGCGCACAGCAGACCUGUGCUCCCUGGGUUCUGUGGCUCAGCAGUGGACUGAGGGUGUCCCCGGGAGGCCCGCUGGGUGACCGCUGGUGCAGAGCUGCCCGCCAGCCGUGAGACCUAAGUGGUCUGCAGGAGUGUCGCCCGCCCUUCCCUCACAGGACACUCCCAGCUGUGUGGGUGGAGGGGACAGCAGGUGGCAUGACGUGGAGCUGAGGCAGAGGAGGAGCCGCAUGGUGGGAGGAACAGUGCCCCCCAGGGACAGUCCACAGGGACAGCAGCCACCCCAGGGGGAGUGUCCCAUAAGACAGGUGCCCCCACUGCCCGGGAGCCUCGCCAAGGGCGCCUUCAUGGGCGGCACCAGACCCACAGCAGCCACCACCACAGUGACCAGUGUCCAGGGUCCUUGGCCUGCAUCCUGUGGCCUCCCACCGCCCAAGCUGGACAUGCCAGGACGUCCCCUCUCAGGGUGGACACCACAGUGGUGGAGCCAGUCACUGCCUGGGUCCUGGUGGCCAAGGGGGUGGUUGAACCUGUUGUCUCCCACCUUAGGACAGUGAAAUUGGUAAGGAGGGGAAUUCUAGUGACACAAGGGCAUCUGAAAGGUGGCACCUAAAGGUGAAGGGGCGUUGAGAGCAGGGCUUGCUCAGCUGCCCAUCACUGGGUGCCAGUCCCGGUGUCUCAGGAGGCUGAGGCAGGAGGAUCGCAACUUCAAACCAGCCUCAGCAGAAAACAAGGCACCAAGCAACUCAAUGAAACUCUUGUCUCUAAAUAAAAUGCAAAAUAGGGCUGGGGGUGUGGCUCAGUGGUGGAGUGUCCCCCACACACAAAGGAAUUCAGUCAUCAGGCCCAAGGGUCCCAGAAAUCCACUGGAGAAACACACACACACACACACACACCCCUCUGCUGUCAGCUCUAGAAUAAAGGGUCCGGGGGUUGGGUCUGAGCUUGGCCACCCAGCCGUGAAGCCAGCCCUGAACACACCGGCCCGUGUCCUGGCACACGGAGGAGAGGGCUGGAAGUCGGCCGUGGUCUCCUCUGGGUCAAGCUGGCUGCCACCCACGCAUCACCUGGGAAAUGUCCGUUCAGUGGUUUAAUCAGGUCAGGACAGGCCAAGAGUCCGUGGGAGCCGCUGGCGGGCGAGCUAUUUGGGGGAGAAUAAAGGGGUUGCCAGGACCCUGGAGGCGGCCUGUCUUUCCUGUCUGCCACUCUUCACCCCCAGCGCUUGUCAGUGUGGAGUUUGCUGCUGGGGGGGAACCAACUCCGACUUCACAGACAUUUGUAAGAGCAAAUUUAAUAAAGCUGGGGAUAAUGCUGCUCAGAUGCAA